This 776-nucleotide precursor RNA is filed under the name Arabidopsis thaliana (thale cress). Its description in RNAcentral is "pre-miRNA 396b". The stretch from base 102 to 237 matches the Rfam family "MIR396 microRNA precursor family". The record is from RNAcentral. Lineage: Eukaryota; Viridiplantae; Streptophyta; Magnoliopsida; Brassicales; Brassicaceae.
UUCUAUAUGCUAGUUGCUCAACUAAUAUCUCUCUCUCUCUAUCUCUCAACAUUUUUCUUAAGUUUAAUUAGUUUUCAGAAGAAGGAGAAGAUGAAGAUCCUGGUCAUACUUUUCCACAGCUUUCUUGAACUUUCUUUUUCAUUUCCAUUGUUUUUUUCUUAAACAAAAGUAAGAAGAAAAAAAACUUUAAGAUUAAGCAUUUUGGAAGCUCAAGAAAGCUGUGGGAAAACAUGACAAUUCAGGGUUUUACUCCAUUGAUUCACUUGUCAAGAUUCUUCUUUCCAAAGAUAUUGAUUUGAAGGUAUGGUUACAUAAACCCUUUAUUCCUAAAUUGAAGACACAGGAUAACUCUUUAGAUCCAUAAUUAUGGUCAGAAUUAUGGAUCUAAAGAGUUAUUGUGAUUAUAAUCACUAAAGUACCGAAGACAUUAGGAUGGUAAUCAUGCUAUAGUUAAAUCUAUAUCUUUAAAUAGGUAUGUUGAGUUUUGUCGUCGAAAGUAAAUAAAAGUUUACUUCUCAUUCCCCUUAAUCCCGUAUCAAUGAAGGCUACAUAUGAUAAUUUGGUUAAUUGUGAUAGUUUCUUACUAAAUCUUCAAGGUUUUGUUUUAGAUGUUCUUAUUAUAUUGGUACUCUGUGAAAGGUUUCUAAAUGAAAAUGAGGAACGAAGUUUCUGUGAGUUUCCACUUUCCAGUUCUACAUGAGAAAAUAAGGUUUAUAUGCUGAUCUUUUCUUACAUUUUGGUUGGAAAAAGAUUUAUGUGAUGUCACUCUAACCACU